UACGUAGGGAGCGAGCGUUAUCCGGAUUUAUUGGGUGUAAAGGGUGCGUAGGCGGUUUAAUAAGUCUGUGGUCUAAUCCCGAAGCUUAACUUCGGUCCGCCACAGAAACUGUCAGACUUGAGUAUGGUAGAGGCAAGUGGAAUUUCUAGUGUAGCGGUUAAAUGCGUAGAUAUUAGAAGGAACACCAGUGGCGAAGGCGACUUGCUGGGCCAUUACUGACGCUGAGGCACGAAAGCGUGGGGAGCAAAUAGG
RNAcentral lists this ribosomal RNA (252 nucleotides) under uncultured Mollicutes bacterium. RNAcentral's name for it is "partial 16S ribosomal RNA". It matches the Rfam family "Bacterial small subunit ribosomal RNA", at positions 524 to 776 of the family's 1533-position model. Lineage: Bacteria; Bacillati; Mycoplasmatota; Mollicutes. The record is from RNAcentral.